Molecule: long non-coding RNA, 2887 nt
Organism: Orcinus orca (killer whale)
Lineage: Eukaryota; Metazoa; Chordata; Mammalia; Artiodactyla; Delphinidae
Exons: 3
Source: RefSeq, a predicted model, not a curated record
GUUACCACAGCCCCCAGGUUUAGCUCUUCCUGUGGAGCCGGCUUCCAACCAGCCUGAGUAUCGGUGCUGACUGAGAUCCCCUUAACCACUAGGCACCUCCGAAGGUGGCCCCUCCUUCCAGGCUGGAGAAAAGCUGUUUCACCUACUGCACAGAAACCAACCCAGAGUCCAGCAGAGUGCAGGAGCAGAGCUGCAUUGAUACUCUGGGAGUAAGGCCCAGACUAAAGUAGGUGUAACUGCUUGGCCUGCUUGCUCUUCUGGGACCACUAGCACAUCCUGACUUCAGAAUCUUGCAACAUCACCUGUGUACAAAAGUACCAAGAAACAAUAAAGAAGGGAAGGUACAUAUGGGGAAAAGUGCUUAUUCCUUAUAGGGUAAGUUAUUCUUCUGCUAUCUCCCCAUAAGGAGGCCUUGAACCAAUUACCUGGGCUGUUUUCCUGGGAAGAGAAGGUAGGAGGAAGCGGUGCUGGGUCCGCUCCCAGAUGUGAGUGUGUGCAGCCAACACAACCCUAGAAUUGUUUUUUUCUUCUGUCAACCCAAAGAGCAAGAUCCACGGUCCCCCCUCACUCCCCAGAGAUUCUGGUCUCCUGUCUAGGAAGGAGAUUCAUAGAAUAUCAUUAAACUCUGGUUCCAGUCCAGGCAAGGUAAUAUAGACCCGUGCCUCCCUACUCAUUCCCACCAAGAGCAACUAUAAAGUCUGGAGUGAGGUGUAGAAGGAGAAAGGUGAGCUUCUUAGGGACCCCAGGACUCAGGGAACAAGAGAGGCAGAAAAGCCAGAGAACCCCUCUCCACCUGGAAACAAUGGUGUCCUGAGGCCUUGGCAAAGGGGAUCCCACACAAGUGGCUGCCACCCCUUCAGGCAUCCCAGCAGGGAUCAGUGGGUGCUCCAGAAGCACCAGACCAACCAAGCAGACAACAAUAGCUUGACAAAAGGCUCUAAGAAUUAAAUAGCGACAAACGUAGAACCUAAACAGGGUGACUGCAUGCAAAAAUGCGAGAUUGAAAUGGGGUCCAUAUUAGGCAAAAUUCCAGGAAGCAAUUUUAAGAAAUCACCUGUCAUACCAAGAAUCAGGAAAAUCACAGCUUAAAUGAGUAAAGACAAUCAACUGAUGCCCACAUGGAAAUGAAUCAGACACUGGAAUUGUCAACAAGAAUUUGAAAGCAGGCGUCAUAAAAAUGCUCCAGGAAUUGAUUACAAAUUAUCUCCAAACAAAUGAAAAAAAUAGAAUAUUUCAGCAAAGAUAUACAAGUUAUAGAAAAGAACCAAACACAUUAUAAAACUGAAAAAUACACUAACUGAAAUAAAAAAUUCACUGGAUGGGCUUAAUUAGUAGAGUGGCCUUUUAUGCUCAGCCCAAAGCCUUUGGCAUACUCCACCCCAUUGGCAAACCAGGUGCACACUGGGUGCCAAGUCAAAGUUCAGCCCUCUGGAAACUAAAAAGAUCAUCAAAGACCUAUCAGAAAAUUCCAGCCUUGCAACUAGGUAUCUAAUAAUCACAUGCUCACGAAUUGCCCUCGAGCCCCAAGUGUAUUUUCCCUUUUUAAAAUUUCAUUUAUUCCACAAUGAUUAAUGAUCAUCUCCUAUGUGUUAAGGAUUAUGCUAGACACUGUAAAGACGUAAGUGAACAAAAUAGUCUUUGCACUCACGGAGCUUAGAGCUAUUUCCCAUUCGGAAGUGUACCCAAACAGAGGGCUUGUCCCACCUUAGCAUUUUUUCCAACCAAGUUUCUUAAUGUUUAGAAGCACAACUCUUUGCAACCUUCCUGUGGGGGUUCAGUGACCUGAGACAUUAUCAGAGUAGAGAAAUAAAUGUUUACAUGGGAAUAGAAACUAAUCUGAACCAUUUAGGAAGCAACCUCACAUUAGUCAAACAUGUCUCUCUCAGUGUUUUCUAUCUCCCUGGAAUGACCCAAUUCUUAAAAUUCAGAUUCCAAGUGGAUAUGAGGAGAGGUGAAGUGUGUGGGUCCGAACGACCACAGGGAGCAUGAGGACAGUGAGGAAGGUGAUGGUGAGGACGGUGAGGAUGCCUGCAGCUGAGCAGGCUCCCAUCCUGGGCACAUGCACAGUGUGGAAGGGGAAGCACCUCCUAUGGGUGAGACUAGGCUUCGUAACCAAUCCACCGUCUUUUCAUAUUUACCUUAUAUUUAACCUUAUUGUGUGGAAUGCAGGUGUCAAGCUCCUUGGGUCAAAGAUUCUUCCAGUGACAUCUAAGGAGCAGAUUCUCAUGUCCACAUCAUGAUGUAAAGGCUUCCUGCUUUCUGCAUGGUGAGGUCUUGAGGUUCACUCUCUUAGGAAUCUCUCUUUCUCCUUGAUGCUGAUAUUAUAUUAUGGACUGUGAACGCCUCCCACUUGGGAGAGAUUCCUUCCCUUUAGAAAACCAAACCAGUGCCGUUACCGAGAGGAAGGCAGCAGGCAGCCAGCCACUUAGGACUGCCUGGUCUUUCCCAAAAUAGUCGUUUUGUCUUGCAUGAGCUCAAAUCCAGAUCUCCAAAAGAACACAUCAGAUUUUUGAGGCCAGACACUAGCUGGCAAUAAAGAGUGUGUAUUUCUAGGGAGUGUCCUCUAGCUUAGUCCUCCCUUUGGAACUAACCAGUGUGGCCAAGUCUGUAGUAGAAGUAAUUUGGGCAUUGGGAACUCUGGACCCGGCCCAAGAAUUUUCCAACUCACCACAGUGAGUAAAAUUUAAUACAUGUUGACAUAAUCUAAUACUUAAUUGCAUCAUUUAUUCCGUUGUUCCAAGAACUCAUUCCUAAUGGAGGAAAGCUAGAGUAUAUAAUUAUAUAUACAUAGAGAGGGAGGGAGAGAAAUUUGGUGCUAAAUUAUAUAAUGUUUGUUAAUUAUCUCACAGGUUUCAGUAGAAUUGUUUGUUCCAUUAAAUUGAAUGAU